Long non-coding RNA from Passer domesticus (house sparrow), 464 nucleotides. RefSeq lists it as uncharacterized. The transcript is spliced from 3 exons. Lineage: Eukaryota; Metazoa; Chordata; Aves; Passeriformes; Passeridae. The record is from RefSeq and is a predicted model, not a curated record.
CAACCCAACCCUUGGCCGCUGUGUUUGCAUGCUCUUCACCCUGCUCCUGCCCACUCUGCUUGUCAGCUUUCCUCAGUCCUGAAAGAUCCUUAGUGCCUGGAUUUUGUCAUCCAGCCCUGCAGGAUGCUCCCAUUUGUCCUGAGGAAGGCUGUCCCAGAUGGAGAAGAGGAGAUGGAGGUGGAUAUAGAGAUUGAUAGAGAGGAGGACAUGGAGACGGAGGGAGAAGACACUGGGGAGGAGGAGAUGGAGGUGGAGGUGGAGGUGACGGUGGAAGAAGAGAUGGAUGUGGAUAUGGAAGAGUCCAUUGAGGACAUGGACAUUGAUUAAAAAGGUGCGAUGGACAUCAUGGAGUGAGAUGCCACCUUUUUGUAUAUACGUUUUACACUUUGAUAUUGACUUUAGGAUGUAGGUUUUAGGGCUUUUUGUCUUCUGUAAAUACAUUUCAUAUAUUUUUUGUUAGAUAG